CAGUAACGGCGAGUGAAGCGGCAACAGCUCAAAUUUGAAAUCUGGCUCCUUCGGGGUCCGAAUUGUAAUUUGUAGAGAGUGCUUCGGGCGAGACCUCGGUCUAAGUCCAUUGGAACAUGGUGUCAUAGAGGGUGAGAAUCCCGUAUGCGACCGUGGCUCGAGCCCAUGUGAAGCCUCUUCGACGAGUCGAGUUGUUUGGGAAUGCAGCUCAAAAUGGGUGGUAAAUUUCAUCUAAAGCUAAAUACUGGCUGGAGACCGAUAGCGCACAAGUAGAGUGAUCGAAAGAUGAAAAGCACUUUGGAAAGAGAGUCAAACAGUACGUGAAAUUGUUGAAAGGGAAGCGCUUGCAACCAGACCUGCCCGUAGGCGAUCAGCCGCUGUUCUCAGCGGUGUACUCGCUCUGCGAUCAGGCCAGCAUCGGUUUCGGCGGUCGGAUAAAGACCUUGGGAAUGUAGCUUCCCUUCGGGGAAGUCUUAUAGCCCUCGGUGUAAUGCGGCCAGCCGGGACCGAGGACCGCGCUUCGGCUAGGAUGCUGGCGUAAUGGUUGUAAGCGACCCGUCUUGAAACACGGACCAAGGAGUCUAACAUCUAUGCGAGUGUUUGGGUGUCAAACCCAUACGCGGAAUGAAAGUGAACGGAGGUGGGAACCCUUAAGGGCGCAUCAUCGACCGAUCCAGAUGUCUUCGGAUGGAUUUGAGUAUGAGCAUAGCUGUUGGGACCCGAAAGAUGGUGAACUAUGCCUGAAUAGGGUGAAGCCAGAGGAAACUCUGGUGGAGGCUCGCAGCGGUUCUGACGUGCAAAUCGAUCGUCAAAUUUGGGUAUAGGGGCGAAAGACUAAUC
This 840-nucleotide ribosomal RNA is filed under the name Xanthoparmelia chlorochroa. Its description in RNAcentral is "eukaryotic LSU rRNA". It matches the Rfam family "Eukaryotic large subunit ribosomal RNA", at positions 81 to 936 of the family's 3401-position model. The record is from RNAcentral. Lineage: Eukaryota; Fungi; Ascomycota; Lecanoromycetes; Lecanorales; Parmeliaceae.